Molecule: long non-coding RNA, 1877 nt
Organism: Panthera uncia (snow leopard)
Lineage: Eukaryota; Metazoa; Chordata; Mammalia; Carnivora; Felidae
Exons: 3
Source: RefSeq, a predicted model, not a curated record
AGAGUUUUUUAUGAACCAGAAUAAGCUGGUAAUAAUAAAGUUUAUAAGUUGCUUUGAGCAUAAUAAAAAUGACUCAUUUCAUAUUAUAGUGAUGGUUCUUUUGCUCUAGUGAGUUAAAUGUAGCAAAUGCUCAAAGAUAGCUUUUGAAUAUGUGUGUUCCAUUAAGGUCAGCCCUCAAUUUGGUAGAUUCUAAUAACAGAUUAUGAUCUAUUUGUUGUAGGAAGAAAGUUCAAAUGAACACCACCCAAUUUUUCUUUACUGUUUUUAGGCAAGACUCAUCAUUCCCAGGCAAUGUCAGAAAAGGCUGUAUCUUCUAACCACACUCCUGUGAGUCAGACUUUGAGGAGACCCUGGGCUAGAUUUCAGCUUCGCAUUUUUUUCUACCAUCACUAGUGAUUGAGAGAACAUUUGGACUGCCUGUGAUUUCUCCAUUCAAGAGAGCAGUUGACAUGCUGUGAACACUCUGGUUUAUUCUCGAGAUUUUUCCAUCACUGUAUCUGCAUAGGACCCAACUAAAUAAACCAAAUCAUGAAGUUUGGUGUAAGAAGACUGUUCCUUUUGAGGGGAUGCCCUCCCUUGGACCCAAAAAGGAUUAGAAGUUGUUGCUGCCUCAGAAGAUGAGCCAUCAAGAAUGUGGUAGAAAUGCAUGCAACUUCUGAGCCUGGACCCAAGGGGCAUCGCAGCUUCUGGUCUUAUCCUCUUGGAAAGCUUCCACUCUCAUGUGAAGAAGACCAGAAUGAAAGACUUGUGGAUAGAGAGGCCACCCAUCCCAUCGGAGGCACCAGACAUGUGAGUGAAGCCAUCUUGGAUGGUCCAGCCACCGGCAAUCCCCAGAUUACUACAGCUGCAUAAGCAACCCCAGGCAAGAAUGGCAGAAAAACCAAUCCAGGUAAGCCCUGCCCAUUGCCAACCCAUAGAAAUUGAGCAAAUGAACGAUGGUGUUUUCAGCCAUUAACUUUGGGGAUGAUUUAUUAUGCAGUAAUAGAUAAACAAAUACACCCCUGGUGGCUGAAAACAUAAUCUUAGUCAACUCCAGAAAAGUAUGUUUGGUUUAAAUUCAAUCAAUUCAAAAUUUACUCAUCCAUAGCUUUCUCCUUGAAGUGGCAUCUAAAGUUCUACACAGCUCCUAUAUCUAAAACCUGAACAGUGCAUUUAAUAUGCUCAAGCUAUUGUAUAAAACUCUACAUCCAACAGAGAAUACACUUUCUUUUUCAGACAUGAGAAAUUUACAAAAACAAUUCAUGUAUUAGGUCAAAAGGAAAUCUAAAUAAUUCUGAAGGAUUCUUAUGUAGACUAAACUACUUACUGUAAUACAAUAAACUUAGAAGUUAAAAACCAAAGGAUACCUUUUAAAAUUUUCACAUAUUUAGAAACUGAAAAAUAUUACUAAAUAUAAGGGUUUCAAGUGAUAAUUCAUACACUAUAUGCCAAAAUCUAUGAAAUUCAUCUUGCAUUACUUAGAAUGAAAUAUAGCUUUAAAUAAAUUUUUAGGAAAUAAGAAAUAUUAAAAUAAAUUAUCUAGGUCUUUAAGUUAUGUUGGUUUGGGCUUUCUGGAAGUUGCAAUAAAAAUAUGCUCAUGAGAUAUUGUAAUAGUGUUAUAUGGUGACAGAUGGCAGCUAGCUACACUUGUGGUGAGCAUAGCAUAACUCCUACAGUUGCUGAAUUACUAUGUGGUACACCUGAAACUAAUGUAACAUUGUGUGUCAACUAUAUUUCAAUAAAAAAAGAAGUAUGCUCAUGACACUGGGCCCUCAGAUUUUCUAAAGGUUACCACCCCUUUCAUUUUUUGAUUGAUUUUGAAAGUCUCUGGAUCUUCUCUUAUACUACAGAGAAUAUCUGAACGUCAGGCCACACAACAUUUUAUGUAUUAAAUUCUG